RNAcentral lists this long non-coding RNA (380 nucleotides) under Coffea arabica (coffee). RNAcentral describes it as "long non-coding RNA (CARA_LNC006083)". Lineage: Eukaryota; Viridiplantae; Streptophyta; Magnoliopsida; Gentianales; Rubiaceae. The record is from RNAcentral.
UUCAAUAUAACAAAUUACAAACAAGCCAAAGGACGAACCUUCGACUCUGAUACCACUUGUUGGGGAAACCGGGUAUUUUCCCAACAGAAAUCAGGUUCUUGAGGGCAGUCUGAUGAAACUUUGGCAUUUACUUUCCUUUGUCUAAAAUACCAGACUACAAAAUCAAGACUGAGAUUUAUCGUUGAUAUCGCCCUGGGAAAAAACAGGCAUGAAGAGAUAAGACAACAUUAAACGGAGAAAGAGCAGAUUUUGCUAUUAUUUCAGAUAUGGGGCCACACUGAUUAUUAACAGGUAGGAUUGUUGUUUUAGUUGUCUGUAUCUCAAUUACUAUCAUUAACCGUUGUCUGCUUUAUCAGACUUUGAGAUUAUAUUGAAGUGCU